RNAcentral lists this transfer RNA (69 nucleotides) under Ovis aries (sheep). It matches the Rfam family "tRNA". From Rfam's summary of the family: Transfer RNA (tRNA) molecules are approximately 80 nucleotides in length. Their secondary structure includes four short double-helical elements and three loops (D, anti-codon, and T loops). The record is from Rfam by way of RNAcentral. Lineage: Eukaryota; Metazoa; Chordata; Mammalia; Artiodactyla; Bovidae.
CCUGGUGGCUCAGAGGUUAAAGCAUCUGCCUGCAAUGCAGGAGACCAGGGUUCGACCCCUGGAUCAGGA